RNAcentral lists this small nuclear RNA (164 nucleotides) under Colobus angolensis palliatus. RNAcentral describes it as "U1 spliceosomal RNA (ENSCANG00000001687.1)". It matches the Rfam family "U1 spliceosomal RNA". Rfam says of the family: U1 is a small nuclear RNA (snRNA) component of the spliceosome (involved in pre-mRNA splicing). Lineage: Eukaryota; Metazoa; Chordata; Mammalia; Primates; Cercopithecidae. The record is from Rfam by way of RNAcentral.
AUACUUACCUGGCAGGGGAGAUACCAUGAUCACGAAGGUGGUUUUCCCAGGGCGAGGCUUAUCCAUUGCACUCCGGAUGUGCUGACCCCUGCGAUUUCCCCAAAUGUGGGAAACUCGACUGCAUAAUUUGUGGUAGUGGGGGGCUGCGUUCGCGCUUUCCCCUA